Non-coding RNA from Pogona vitticeps (central bearded dragon), 298 nucleotides. NCBI's taxonomy places the organism in Eukaryota, Metazoa, Chordata, Lepidosauria, Squamata, Agamidae. The record is from RefSeq and is a predicted model, not a curated record.
GAAGGCAGGCCUGAACAAGACGCAUGUCACCCCGUCCGAUUUUCUGAAACAUUUAAAGGAGCCGGUGGCGGGAACGAGGCACGCCAUGCGGGCAGGCAGUUACAUGGAGGCCUCUCUGGACCUCCUGAAGAAGAAGUUGCAGAAGAAGUGGCCGAGACCCUUCAACAUCACAGAGGUCCUAAACACCAAGCAAAAAGAGACCAUCGCCUUGGCCACCGGUUGCGAUUACCCGAUCCGGCCCAUUGACUGUCCGGAGAACAGCCCUUAUCGGACGAUCACCGGGCAAUGUAACAACAGG